This 821-nucleotide non-coding RNA is filed under the name Taxoblenus sp. The record is from RNAcentral. Lineage: Eukaryota; Metazoa; Arthropoda; Insecta; Hymenoptera; Tenthredinidae.
AUUAUUUAAAUAAUUAUUUUAAAAAAGUUUGAUUUUAGCUUUUUUGUUUAUGAUAUAUUUUUUUUGCAUGUAAAUUUUUGUGAGGAUAUAGUUUUUAUUUUAAAAAUAAAUUGUUAUUAAUAAAUAAAUUAAUUUUCAGCAUUUAAUUUUAAUAAUUAAAGAAAUUUAGAAUUAUGAUUUAUUUAAAUAUUAGUAAAAAAUGUGCCAGCAACUGCGGUUAUACAUUUUAUAUAAGUAAAUAUUGUUUAUUUAAUAAUCUUAUUAUAAUUAUAAUUUUUAAUUUUUAAUAAAUUAGGUGAAAUUAUUUUUUAAAUUAAAUUAUUUUAAAAAUUUAAAUAAUAUUAUGAAAUCUUUGUAAAAACUAGGAUUAGAUACCCUAUUAUUUAAGAUUUAAAAAUAAAUUAGAGGAUUAAUAGGUAUGUUCUUUAAACUUAAAAAAAUUGGCGGUAUUUAAAUCUAAUUAGGGGAAUUUGUUUAUUAAAUGAUAAUCCGCAAGAAACCUUACUUUAAUAAAAAAUUUAUUUAUUGCCGUUAUCAGAUUAUUUUAUAAGAAAAAUUUAAUUUUCUAUAUUAUUUAUUUAAUUAUAAUUAUUUCAGGUCAUCAUGUAGUUUAUAUUAAAGAUUAAAUGAAUUACAAUAAAUUUUAUUUAAAUGAAUAUUAUAUUGAAAUAUAUAUUUGAAGGUGGACUUAAUAGUAAAAAAAAAUAUUUUAUUUUUUUGAAUUAAGAAUUAAAUAUGUACAUAUCGCCCGUCACUCUCAUUUUAAAAUGAGAUAAGUCGUAACAAAGUAGAUAUACUGGAAAGUGUUUCUAGAAAGCUUU